Molecule: non-coding RNA, 231 nt
Organism: Cinara cedri
Lineage: Eukaryota; Metazoa; Arthropoda; Insecta; Hemiptera; Aphididae
Source: the annotation of a GenBank genome assembly
UUUAUUUUAACAAAUAAUAACGUGAGUCAGAUGCCCCCAUUCCGACAUUUUUGUUGUUCGGCGUUUUAAAACGUGUAUAGACGAACUCUGUUCAGAAUUGGUUUUCGUUAACAAUGAUUUUAAUGCGUACAAAUAAACAUUAAAUUCUCAUUUAUAUCAAAUAUGCUAUAAACAAAAAAAAAAAAAAAAAAAAAUGCUUUUUAUUAAAAUUGUACACUAAAAUCCUGAUUU